GCGUCUGUAGCUCAACAGGAUAGAGCAUCCGGCUUCUACCCGGAUGGCUGAGGGUUCGAGUCCUUCCAGGCGCG
This 74-nucleotide transfer RNA is filed under the name Xanthomonas phage X1. RNAcentral's name for it is "tRNA-Arg". It matches the Rfam family "tRNA". Rfam says of the family: Transfer RNA (tRNA) molecules are approximately 80 nucleotides in length. Their secondary structure includes four short double-helical elements and three loops (D, anti-codon, and T loops). Lineage: Duplodnaviria; Heunggongvirae; Uroviricota; Caudoviricetes. The record is from RNAcentral.